RNAcentral lists this transfer RNA (74 nucleotides) under Streptomyces sp. JV178. RNAcentral's name for it is "tRNA-Leu". It matches the Rfam family "tRNA". From Rfam's summary of the family: Transfer RNA (tRNA) molecules are approximately 80 nucleotides in length. Their secondary structure includes four short double-helical elements and three loops (D, anti-codon, and T loops). The record is from RNAcentral. Lineage: Bacteria; Bacillati; Actinomycetota; Actinomycetes; Kitasatosporales; Streptomycetaceae.
GCUCCUGUGGCCCAAAGGCAGAGGCAAACGGCUUAAACCCGUUUCAAGUGUCGGUUCGAGUCCGACUGGGAGCA